ACGUAGGGUGCGAGCGUUAAUCGGAAUUACUGGGCGUAAAGGGUGCGCAGGCGGUUUUGUAAGUCAGAUGUGAAAUCCCCGGGCUUAACCUGGGAACUGCGUUUGAAACUACAAGACUAGAGUGUAGCAGAGGGGGGUGGAAUUCCAUGUGUAGCAGUGAAAUGCGUAGAGAUAUGGAAGAACACCGAUGGCGAAGGCAGCCCCCUGGGUUAACACUGACGCUCAGGCACGAAAGCGUGGGGAGCAAACAGG
RNAcentral lists this ribosomal RNA (252 nucleotides) under uncultured bacterium. RNAcentral's name for it is "partial 16S ribosomal RNA". It matches the Rfam family "Bacterial small subunit ribosomal RNA", at positions 525 to 776 of the family's 1533-position model. The record is from RNAcentral.